Non-coding RNA from Pimephales promelas (fathead minnow), 188 nucleotides. Lineage: Eukaryota; Metazoa; Chordata; Actinopteri; Cypriniformes; Leuciscidae. The record is from RefSeq and is a predicted model, not a curated record.
ACGGAGGGUCACCAGUGCAGACAGCAAAACUCCGACUCUCCCUGUUUUCGCUGCUUUCAGAUCGUUCCAUGCUGAUGCCCUGCUCAGUAGCAGAGUUGAACUGACCAUCAUCUGAACCUGGCAACCGGACACGCAAACACACACGCUCUUUUUUGAUAAUGAAAAUAAAAUUAUUUUGUUUCCUAAUA